RNAcentral lists this ribosomal RNA (397 nucleotides) under uncultured bacterium. Its description in RNAcentral is "partial 16S ribosomal RNA". It matches the Rfam family "Bacterial small subunit ribosomal RNA", at positions 338 to 732 of the family's 1533-position model. The record is from RNAcentral.
UCUACGGGGGGCUGCAGUGAGGAAUAUUGGUCAAUGGGCGGAAGCCUGAACCAGCCAAGUCGCGUGAGGGAAUAAGGCCCUACGGGUCGUAAACCUCUUUUGCCGGGGAGCAAGGGCGGGGACGUGUCCCGGCCCGGAGAGUACCCGGAGAAAAAGCAUCGGCUAACUCCGUGCCAGCAGCCGCGGUAAUACGGGGGAUGCGAGCGUUAUCCGGAUUUUUGGGGUUUAAAGGGUGCGUUGGCGGGCUUUUAAGUCAGCGGUAAAAAUUCGGGGUUCAAACCCGUACGGCCGUUGAAACUGGGGGCCUUGAGUGGGCGAGGGGAAGGCGGAAUGCGUGGUGUAGCGGUGAAAUGCAUAGAUAUCACGCAGAACCCCGAUUGCGAAGGCAGCCUUCCGG